UCCCUGGUGGUCCAGUGGUUAGGACUCAGAGCUCUCAUUUCUGGGGCCCAGGUUCAGUCCUUGGUCAGGGAA
RNAcentral lists this transfer RNA (72 nucleotides) under Capra hircus (goat). It matches the Rfam family "tRNA". Rfam says of the family: Transfer RNA (tRNA) molecules are approximately 80 nucleotides in length. Their secondary structure includes four short double-helical elements and three loops (D, anti-codon, and T loops). Further hydrogen bonds mediate the characteristic L-shaped molecular structure. tRNAs have two regions of fundamental functional importance: the anti-codon, which is responsible for specific mRNA codon recognition, and the 3' end, to which the tRNAs corresponding amino acid is attached (by aminoacyl-tRNA synthetases). tRNAs cope with the degeneracy of the genetic code in two manners: having more than one tRNA (with a specific anti-codon) for a particular amino acid; and 'wobble' base-pairing, i.e. permitting non-standard base-pairing at the 3rd anti-codon position. RNAcentral also lists the same sequence under 1 other name. The record is from Rfam by way of RNAcentral. Lineage: Eukaryota; Metazoa; Chordata; Mammalia; Artiodactyla; Bovidae.